GAAUACAAACUGCUUUUUGAGGGUGCAGGUAGCAAUCCUGGAGACAAGACCCUGGAGGACCGAUUCUUUGAACAUGAGCUGAACAAGCUGGCCUUCCUGAACCAGUUCCACUUUGGUGUCUUUUAUGCCUUUGUGAAGCUUAAGGAACAGGAAUGUCGCAACAUUGUGUGGAUUGCUGAGUGCAUUGCCCAGCGCCAUCGCGCCAAGAUCGACAACUAUAUCCCCAUCUUCUAGAGUUCCGACUUAAGGUUCCCAAGUGCACUGUGUGUGUCUGUGUGCUGUGGUGAAGCCUCUGGCUCACUUGUCUGACUUGGUGAGGUGUAGCACAUUGCCCUGGGAUUGGUUGCCCAGCUUCCAUGACCCCCUCGGGACUGCUCAUAGGUCUAAAAAGAGUUAGGCACCUUUCCCCUGAUCAAGAAUGGACCAAGAUCCCCUCUAGAGCAAAGAGGCCCCCCAGCCCUAUGUUUACAGCCACUGACAUGUCUAAGAAACUGUGUGACUUUUAUGUCCCUCCCUAACCUGAGAACCCUGGGGACAGCUUCCUUUCCUGUCCUUAGGUCAUUCCCAGAACCAUGACCUGUGGGAAAAAUAGAGAAUAUGUAUUCUUGGGGUAUUGGGAAAGCAGCUUUGCAGCCCUCUCCCUCAGCUCUGCCCCUCUGAGACAAUAAAAUUGCCCUCUUUAAAA
RNAcentral lists this long non-coding RNA (685 nucleotides) under Rattus norvegicus (Norway rat). RNAcentral describes it as "long non-coding RNA NONRATT014626". The record is from RNAcentral. Lineage: Eukaryota; Metazoa; Chordata; Mammalia; Rodentia; Muridae.